RNAcentral lists this transfer RNA (77 nucleotides) under Veillonella magna. Its description in RNAcentral is "tRNA-Arg". It matches the Rfam family "tRNA". From Rfam's summary of the family: Transfer RNA (tRNA) molecules are approximately 80 nucleotides in length. RNAcentral also lists the same sequence under 2 other names. The record is from RNAcentral. Lineage: Bacteria; Bacillati; Bacillota; Negativicutes; Veillonellales; Veillonellaceae.
GACUCAGUAGCUCAGCUGGAUAGAGCGUUUGACUACGAAUCAAAAGGCCGGGGGUUCGAAUCCCUCCUGGGUCACCA